This 1210-nucleotide long non-coding RNA is filed under the name Piliocolobus tephrosceles (Ugandan red Colobus). RNAcentral describes it as "lncRNA (ENSPTEG00000003740.1)". Lineage: Eukaryota; Metazoa; Chordata; Mammalia; Primates; Cercopithecidae. The record is from RNAcentral.
AAAAUUAUAAAAAAAAAAAAAAAAAAAGAUAAUAAACAAAGUGAUGGCUUGACCGUUGAAACACAGAAAAAUCUAAAUCUAAGUGUAUAUAAUAUUGUAUAUAUAUUUAUAUCAUGUAUUUUGUGGAAUAAACUAACACGUUUCUUACUUUGAAAACAAAAUUUAAAAAAUCAAAAGACAUUUAUACGUUUCCUUUCUUUUUACUUAACAACUUUUUACUUAACAACUUUUUACUUAAUAACUUUUUACUUAAUAACAUUGUUAAAUUUUUUUUUUUUUUUUUUUCGUUUUUCACAGGUUUGGAUAGUUAUAAACUAUUUUAACAUUACUUUGAAUGUGUGCUAUAUUUUUGAUUAUAAAUAUAUUUUUUUGGUUUCACUAGUUACAUAAGAUAUCUAACAUAUGCAUUUAGUACAUAAAAAGAAAAAAAAGUUGUAUGUUCUGUCCAAUUAGUCUGUCUUCCUGCCUGCCUGCAUAUUUGCGUUUGUUUUUUUUUUCACUUAUAUAUAUACAUCAACUUUAAAAAAAACUAUACUAUUUGUGUAAAGAGUUUAUUUUAUUUUUUUUUUGAGGAGACCUAUUUUUUUAAAAAAUGAAAGAUGUUCGAAAAGAGAUAAAUCAUAUAAAAGAAUUUAUUGACACAUUUUGUUUUGCAAAAAAUGUAAAGAUAGUUACUGAUGAAUCAGUUCUAAAAAAAAUUAACAAAACAUCUAAAGAAAAUAACACAAGUGUAGUUAAUUUGUAUUCUUCGUAUGCUUUAUGGCUGUGUAUGAAUGAAAUAUAUCCAGCAUGGUUUGAUCUUUCGAUUCAUCCUGCUCAGUUUGAUUUUGAAGCGGACGCCACCGAGUGUUUAAUCAAGUAUUUGAAUGAGUACCAUGAAAAAAAAUAUGAUAAAAUAAUAAAUAACGCGUUAAUAAAUAUUAACACCCUAACAGUAAGCCAUUUUAUUGAUAUAUACAAUUUAGUCAUACUAGCAGCUUUAGUAUCGGAUGAUAAACAAAGACAUAUAACUAAUAUUUUAUCACUUAAACAUGAAACACAAAAAUAUAUACACAAAAUUAUAGAAUAUUUAGAAAAAGAGGUAAAUGGCUUUUUUUUUUUUAAUUUUAUUUAUUUGGUUGUUGUUACCGUUGUUAGCAUUGUUAUGGUUGCUACUGUCAUUGUUAUUAUUGCUGCUAUUGUUUUUUUUUUUUAUUUUAUUUUUUUUUGA